UAUUUUGUUGGUUAUAGGACCGCAGUAAUGAUUAAUAGGGACAGUGGGGGGCAUCAGUAUUCAGCUGUCAGAGGUGAAAUUCUUGGAUUUGCUGAAGACUAACUAGUGCGAAAGCAUUUGCCAAGGAUUUUUUCAUUAAUCAGGAACGAAAGUUAGGGGAUCGAAGACGAUCAGAUACCGUGGUAGUCUUAACCAUAAACUAUGCCGACUAGGGAUCGGGCUAUGUUACUAUUUGACUCUCUCCGCACCUUAAGAAAAAUCAAUGUCUUUGGUUUCCAGGGGGAGUAUGGUCGCAAGGCAAAAACUUAAAGAAAUUGAAGGAAGCGCCCCACCAGGGGUGGAGCGUGCGGCUUAAUUUCACACAACACGGGGAAACUCACCAGGUCCAGACACAAUGAGGAUUGACAGAUUGAGAGCUCUUUCUUGAUUUUGUGGGUGGUGGUGCAUGGCCGUUCUUAGUUGGUAAGUGAUUUGUCUGCUUAAUUGCGAUAACGAACGAGACCUUAACCUGCUAAAUAGCCCGCGCCGUUCCGGCGGCGCGCCGGCUUCUUAGAGGGACUAUCGGCUCAAGCCGAUGGAAGUUUGAGGCAAUAACAGGUCUGUGAUGCCCUUAGAUUUCUGGGCCGCACGCGCGCGACACUGACGGGGCCAGCGAGUACUCCCUUGACCGGAAGGUCCGGGUAAUCUUGUUAAACCCCGUCGUGCUGGGGAUAGAGCAUUGCAAUA
This 726-nucleotide ribosomal RNA is filed under the name uncultured fungus. RNAcentral describes it as "SSU rRNA". It matches the Rfam family "Eukaryotic small subunit ribosomal RNA", at positions 838 to 1591 of the family's 1831-position model. Lineage: Eukaryota; Fungi. The record is from RNAcentral.